CCUACGGGGGGCAGCAGUGAGGAAUAUUGGUCAAUGGGAGAGAUCCUGAACCAGCCAAGCCGCGUGAGGGAAGACGGCCCUAUGGGUUGUAAACCUCUUUUGUCGGAGAACAAAACCCGGGACGUGUCCCGGACUGCGUGUAUCCGAAGAAAAAGCAUCGGCUAACUCCGUGCCAGCAGCCGCGGUAAUAGGGAGGAUGCGAGCGUUAUCCGGAGUUAUUGGGUGUAAAGGGUGCGUAGGCGGUCCGUUAAGUCAGCGGUAAAAUUGCGGGGCUCAACCCCGUCGGGCCGUUGAAACUGGGAGACUUGAGUUGGCGAGAGGUACGCGGAAUGCGCGGUGUAGCGGUGAAAUGCAUAGAUAUCGCGCAGAACUCCGAUUGCGAAGGCAGCGUACCGGCGCCAGACUGACGCUGAGGCACGAAAGCGUGGGGAGCGAACAGGAUUAGAUACCCGAGUAGUC
Molecule: ribosomal RNA, 459 nt
Filed under: uncultured bacterium
Lineage: Bacteria
Description: partial 16S ribosomal RNA
Rfam family: Bacterial small subunit ribosomal RNA
Source: RNAcentral